UUCUUCUCUGAUUGUAUCUUUUAUAUUCCAAGGAAUGUAUCAUGCCCAGUCUCUCCAGUUGGGAGUCCUCUUCUCCAUCCAAGGUCGCGUAAGCCCCUAAACGGGUGGAUCUCUCCCUCGUUGAUAGCUAGCUCCCAUACCCCAUCGGGUUCGUACACACCUCUCACCGGGUGUUUCCGUCCGAUUCCAUCACCUCAGUCAACCUAUAUUGGCGCAAGAGGGUUUUUGUUACUGGCCAAACCGCCUCCCAAGUUCUUGCAACAAUAGUCCUUCCUACUGGGUCCCAGACAUUCUCCAGAGGCUGCAGUCGGGUUCUCAAGCUUUCAGUGAUCUGAUGUCCUGCGAUAGUGAUGCUUUUGGAAAGCAGUUUGGUAGAGGGACCAACAAUGGAGAACUUUACGGACAGACAGUAUUGGCUGGUCUUUUGUCUCCACAACUCUUUUAAGGGAUCUGUGAAGUUGUAUCCAUCGCUCGAUCCUUCCUCUCCAUUGGCAAGCUACUGCAUCAAUGGAGCAUAACUCCAUUUAUUAUCACAGACAGCAUUCAGGGGAAGCUUGCCAAGUGGACAUUGUUUUCUUCUACAUCAGAGAUCGUUAUGAAUAAAAUCAUCACAUAAGAUGAGCUCCCAGAUGACGUCCGGAUGAAGAUUUCUACCAACGGUGUCCACAUAGCUCUGGUAGUGGCAUCACCUUGCUUUUACGACAAAGCAUUGAGUUUGAAUGUGGACAUCCUUGAUAAGAGGAAGAAUACAUCCAGCAAUUAGAAUAGUCUCUAGAUACUGUUAUUUCACUGUCUCUUCGAGUUCAAAUGAAAGGUUAAUUCUUGGGGAUGAUAGUUUGGAUUGUAUAGCUGAUUCUUAACUAAAUCGUUGGCCUUAAGAUGUAUAUUUAUAUUAUAAACAUCGAGGCAAAGCAAGAUUGAUCCACCACAAUAAGUAGCUGUAGAACUUCUGUGGCGUGUUCUAGUUUUUUUCCUUUGCAC
This 981-nucleotide long non-coding RNA is filed under the name Olea europaea subsp. europaea. Lineage: Eukaryota; Viridiplantae; Streptophyta; Magnoliopsida; Lamiales; Oleaceae. The record is from RNAcentral.